RNAcentral lists this ribosomal RNA (403 nucleotides) under uncultured Desulfovibrio sp. RNAcentral describes it as "partial 16S ribosomal RNA". The record is from RNAcentral. Lineage: Bacteria; Pseudomonadati; Thermodesulfobacteriota; Desulfovibrionia; Desulfovibrionales; Desulfovibrionaceae.
GGGAACGUAUUCACCCCGGCAUGCUGAUCCGGGAUUACUAGCGAUUCCAGCUUCAUGCAGUCAAGUUGCAGACUGCAAUCCGGACUGAGACAGGCUUUCUGGGAUUAGCGCGGCCUCGCGGCUUGGCAACCCUUUGUACCUGCCAUUGUAGUACGUGUGUAGCCCUGGAUGUAAGGGCCAUGAUGACUUGACGUCGUCCCCACCUUCCUCCCGGUUGACCCGGGCAGUCUCGCCAGAGUGCCCAGCAUUACCUGGUAGCAACUGGCAACAAGGGUUGCGCUCGUUGCGGGACUUAACCCAACACCUCACGGCACGAGCUGACGACAGCCAUGCAGCACCUGUCUCCGCGUUCCCCGAAGGGCACUCCCUAAUUUCAUAGGGAUUCGCGGGAUGUCAAACCCAG